This 357-nucleotide ribosomal RNA is filed under the name uncultured bacterium. Its description in RNAcentral is "bacterial SSU rRNA". It matches the Rfam family "Bacterial small subunit ribosomal RNA", at positions 71 to 422 of the family's 1533-position model. The record is from RNAcentral.
ACCUGGGCUUCGGCCCUGGGGAAAGCGGCGAACGGGUGAGUAUCACGUGGGUAACCUGCCCUCGGCACCGGGAUAGCCCGAGGAAACUCGGAUUAAUACCGGACAGCCUCAUGAGCUCUCGGGCGAAUGAGAAAAGGUGGCUUCGGCUUCCGGCUGAGGAUGGGCCCGCGGCCGAUUAGCUUGUUGGUGAGGUAAUGGCUCACCAAGGCUCCGAUCGGUAGCUGGUCUGAGAGGACGAUCAGCCACACUGGGACUGAGACACGGCCCAGACUCCUACGGGAGGCAGCAGUGGGGAAUCUUGCGCAAUGGGCGAAAGCCUGACGCAGCGACGCCGCGUGCGGGAAGAAGGCCUUCGGG